CCUCAUGCAGUAUUUUAUGUCCGGGUGACUAUUAGGGCGAUUGAAUUUAGCGGCCGCGAAUUCGCCCUUAGAGUUUGAUCCUGGCUGAGGAUGAACGCUAGCGGCAGGCCUAACACGUGCAAGUCGAGGGGUAGCAGGAAAAAGCUUGCUUUUUCGCUGACGACCGGCGCACGGGUGCGUAACACGUAUGCAACCUACCUUGAUCAGGGGAAUAGCCCAGAGAAAUCUGGAUUAAUACCCCAUAAUAUAAUUCAUUCGCAUGUUUGAAUUAUUAAAGUUUCGGCGGAUCAAGAUGGGCAUGCGGCCUAUUAGUUUGUUGGUGAGGUAACGGCUCACCAAGACUACGAUAGGUAGGGGUUCUGAGAGGAUGAUCCCCCACACUGGUACUGAGACACGGACCAGACUCCUACGGGAGGCAGCAGUGAGGAAUAUUGCGCAAUGGACGAAAGUCUGACGCAGCCAUGCCGCGUGCAGGAUGAAUGCCCUAUGGGUUGUAGACUGCUUUUAUAUACCAAGAAACCCUCGGACGUGUCCGAGGCUGACGGUAGUAUAUGAAUAAGGACCGGCUAACUCCGUGCCAGCAGCCGCGGUAAUACGGAGGGUCCAAGCGUUAUCCGGAUUUAUUGGGUUUAAAGGGUUCGUAGGCGGGGUAUUAAGUCAGUGGUGAAAGCCCACAGCUCAACUGUGGAACUGCCAUUGAUACUGGUACUCUUGAGUAUAGUAGAAGUUAGCGGAAUGUGUCAUGUAGCGGUGAAAUGCUUAGAUAUGACCCAGAACACCGAUUGCGAAAGCAGCUAACUAUGUUAUUACUGACGCUGAGGAACGAAAGCGUGGGGAGCGAACAGGAUUAGAUACCCUGGUAGUCCACGCCGUAAACGAUGAUUACUCGAUAUUGGCUUCGGUCAGUGUCCAAGCGAAAGUGAUAGUAAUCCACCUGGGGAGUACGCUCGCAGAGUGAAACUCAAAGGAAUUGACGGGGCCCGCACAGCGGUGAGCAUGUGUUUAUCGAUGAUACGCGAGAUCUUACAGUUUAAUGUAGACGAUCGAUGUGAACACAUCUUCUUCGACGUCUACAGUGCUGCAUGUGUCGUCAGCUCGUGGCUGUGAAUGUCGGUAAUCCAUAACGAGGCCAACCCAUAUCUUUAGUUGGCAGCGCGGAUCGUCGCGGGAAUCUUAAGAACUGCCGGCGUAACCGCAGGAAAGAUGUAUGAACUCAAUCUCGGCCUUAACUUGGCUAACACCGGCUCAAAUGGCAGGACACACUGAGAUAUUUAUCGUGGGACAUGU
This 1287-nucleotide ribosomal RNA is filed under the name uncultured bacterium. RNAcentral describes it as "partial 16S ribosomal RNA". It matches the Rfam family "Bacterial small subunit ribosomal RNA", at positions 1 to 1268 of the family's 1533-position model. The record is from RNAcentral.